Molecule: non-coding RNA, 4187 nt
Organism: Prunus mume (Japanese apricot)
Lineage: Eukaryota; Viridiplantae; Streptophyta; Magnoliopsida; Rosales; Rosaceae
Source: RefSeq, a predicted model, not a curated record
UCUCUCUUUCUCUCUCAAACACACGCAGAGGUUUCUUGUUACAGAAAACCCUCGAUAUUCUCACUUUCUUUCUCUGGAAACCAAUAAAAAGCUUGGGCUAAAACCAUAGAAACCAGAAGGCAAACAAUGGAAGAAAAUAACAGUAACAACGUGGCUAGCAACGUGGCCCAAGCCAUUGCCGUAGCUCUCGACUGGAGCUCCACUUCCGAUGCUCGCAAAGCAGCCGUCGCUUUCCUCGAAUCCAUUAAAGCCGGAGAUGUACGCGUUUUGGCGAACACAUCAUUCCAUCUAGUGAAAAAGGAUUGGUCUUCCGAAAUUCGGUUGCAUGCAUUUAAAAUGUUACAGCAUUUGGUCCGGUUGAGGUGGGAAGAAUUAAGCCCUACAGAGCGUAGAAACUUUGCAAAUAUCACCGUUGAUUUAAUGUCUGAUAUUGCAAAUCCCAGUGAGGAGUGGGCUUUGAAAAGUCAGACAGCAGCCCUUGUUGCUGAGAUGGUUAGAAGAGAAGGACUAAAUCUUUGGCAAGAACUGCUUCCAACUCUGGUUUCAUUAUCUUACAAGGGUCCUAUACAAGCUGAGUUGGUCUGCAUGAUGCUAAGGUGGCUUCCUGAAGAUAUUACUGUUCACAAUGAAGAUUUGGAAGGUGAUCGGAGAAGGUUAUUGUUGCGUGGGCUGACACAAUCUUUACCUGAAAUAUUGCCUCUAUUAUACACUUUACUAGAGAGGCACUUUGGGGCUGUGUUGAAUGAAGCAGGAAAACAACAAUUGGACCUCGCAAAACAACAUGCAGCAACAGUAACAGCUAUUUUGAAUGCUGUUAAUGCAUAUUCUGAAUGGGCUCCAUUGCCUGAUCUUGCAAAAUAUGGUAUAAUUCAUGGGUGUGGUUUCUUACUUUCUUCACCUGACUUCUGUCUUCAUGCUUGUGAGUUUUUCAAACUUGUUUCCCAAAGGAAGAGACCUAUUGAUGAUACCUCUGCUCCGGAAUUUGAUUCUGCAAUGAGUAAUAUCUUUCAUAUAUUGAUGAAUGUCUCCAAAGAAUUUUUGUACAGAUCAGGCCCCAGUGCUGGGGUAAUUGAUGAAAGCAAUAUUGAGUUUGCGGAAUAUAUAUGUGAAAGUAUGGUAUCUUUGGGUUCUACAAACUUGCAAUGUAUUGCUGGUGAUAGCACCAUGCUAGGUCUUUAUUUACAACAGAUGCUAGGUUUUUUUCAGCAUUUGAAGCUAGCUCUUCACUUUCAAUCUCUCCACUUUUGGCUGGCACUAAUGAGAGACUUGAUGUCAAAGCCAAAGGCUGUUGCUCGCUCAGCUGGAGAUGGUUCUGACCCAGUCGAUACUGAAAAGAGAAAGAUCUUAAGUUUUUUGAGUGAUGAAAUAUGUAGUGCAAUUCUGGAUGUAUCUUUCCAACACAUGCUCAAGCGAGAAAAGGUUCUUCAUGGAACAUCAUUUGCUUUGGGGCCGUUGGAGUUAUGGAGUGAUGAUGCUGAGGGGAAGGGAAAUUUUGGCCAGUAUCGUUCAAAGUUGUUAGAACUGGUCAAGUUGGUAACUUCAUACAAGCCUCUUAUAGCUGGGGCUAAUGUUUCUGAAAGAAUUGAUAAAAUCAUCAAAAACCUCUUGCUUUCUCCAAUGCCUGCUCAGGACUUAGCUGUGAUGGAAAGCAUGCAGCUGGCUUUAGAAAAUGUUGUAAGCACCAUUUUUGAUGGAUCAAAUGAAAUUGGUGGGGGUCAUUCUGAAGUUCAACAUGGCCUGUGCAAAAUAUUUGAAGGUUUGCUUCAGCAAUUUCUUUCUUUGAAGUGGACUGAGCCGGCCCUUGUGGAAGUACUGGGGCACUACUUGGAUGCAAUGGGGCCAUUUUUGAAGUAUUUUCCAGAUGCUGCAGGCGGUGUCAUUAAUAAAUUAUUUGAGCUCCUAAACUCACUUCCUUUUGUUGUUAAGGAUCCAUCUACAAAUAGUGCACGGUACGCAAGGUUACAAAUUUGUACAUCAUUUAUUCGUAUAGCCAAAACUGCUGACAAAAGUAUUCUACCUCACAUGAAGGGUAUAGCUGACACCACGGCGUAUAUGCAAAGAGAAGGUUGUUUGCUUCGUGGUGAACAUAAUCUUCUAGGUGAAGCGUUUCUUGUCAUGGCUUCUGCUGCUGGAAUUCAGCAGCAGCAAGAAGUUUUGGCCUGGUUACUAGAACCUUUGAGCCAGCAAUGGACGCAGCUUGAGUGGCAAAAUAAUUAUCUAUCUGAACCACUAGGUCUUGUUCGCUUGUGCUCUGAGACCCCAGUUAUGUGGUCAGUUUUCCACACUAUCACAUUCUUUGAGAAGGCACUUAAGAGAAGUGGAACCAGAAAAGCGCAUUUGAAUUUGCAAAACAACUCAACCGAAACUGCUACUCCCUUGCACCCUAUGGCUUCUCAUCUCUCAUGGAUGCUGCCACCUCUUCCAAAACUGCUUCGCUCCAUUCAUUCCCUUUGGUCUCCAUCUGUAUCCCAAACACUUCCUGGAGAGAUUAAAGCUGCAAUGACCAUGAGUGAUGUUGAGCAAUUCAGUCUUCUUGGUGAAGGAAACCCUAAAUUUUCAAAGGGUGCGGUAACCUUUUCUAGUGGAUCUCUUAUCAGUGCAAGUAAGGAAGGAUACACAGAGCCAAAUGAAUCAGACAUACGAAAUUGGUUGAAAGGUAUCAGAGACAGUGGGUACAAUGUAUUGGGCUUGGCAACCACUGUUGGAGAGUCAUUUUACAAAUGUUUGGAUAGUCAAUCUGUUGCUCUAGCUCUAGUGGAGAAUAUACAUUCAAUGGAAUUCAGACAUAUCAGACUGCUUGUUCAUUCAGUUUUAAUUCCCUUGGUUAAAUUUUGCCCUGUGGAUUUGUGGGAGACAUGGUUAGAGAAGCUCUUGCACCCAUUAUUUCAACACUCCCAGCAGGCUCUUAGUUGCUCCUGGUCCAGUCUUCUACGUGAAGGGAGAGCAAAGGUCCCAGAUGCCCAUGCCAUACUCGCUGGGUCAGACUUAAAAGUGGAAGUAAUGGAAGAAAAGCUACUUAGGGAUUUAACUCGGGAGAUUUGUUCACUCCUCUCUGUUAUAGCUUCACCACAGCUAAAUACCGGGCUUCCUUCCUUGGAGCACUCUGGGCAUGUUAGUCGUGUUGACGUUUCUUCACUCAAAGAUUUGGAUGCAUUCACUUCUAGCUCUAUGGUUGGUUUCCUGUUGAAGCACAAAGGUCUUGCCCUUCCAGCGCUGCAGAUAUGUUUAGAAGCUUUUACAUGGACAGAUGGUGAAUCCAUGACUAAAGUUUCUUCCUUUUGUGCUGCUUUGGUUGCUCUAACGAUAUCAACAAAUAGUACGGAACUCCAACAAUUUGUGUCUAAGGAUCUCUUUUCUGCAAUCAUCCAAGGUUUAGCCCUUGAAUCAAAUGCUUUCAUCAGUGCUGAUUUGAUUAGUCUCUGUCGUGAUAUAUACAUAUAUCUUUGUGAUAGAGAUCCAACUCCUAGGCAGGUUCUGCUCUCACUCCCUUGUAUCAAACAGCACGAUUUGCUUGCUUUUGAAGAAGCUUUGACGAAGACAUAUAGUCCCAAAGAACAAAAGCAACAUAUGAAAAGCUUGCUAUUACUAGCUACUGGAAACAAGUUGAAAGCCCUUGUUGCUCAGAAAAGCGUAAAUGUAAUAACAAAUGUAUCAACAAGGCCUCGCAACACCGUCAACGUUGCAGAAACCAGAGUGGAUGAGGGAGAGAGUGUUGGACUGGCAGCCAUAUUGUGAUGCAUGUGUGAUCUCUUGUACAGAAAUGAAUUCAAGUGGAAGACGGAAAAUCCUGUUUGAGGAAUAUGAUGAGUUUGAGUGUUCUGUGCUGCUGCUGGCUGUUACAAGACUGCUUUGGUGGUGGGCCACCACCAGGGCCUGGACCUCCUGGCCCACCAGGGCCACCUGGAGGACCACCACCCCCGCCAUGAAUAAUGAAAUGAAUGAUGCAUGGAUAAUGGAUUCAUGGCAUGGCAAGGCAGCUGCUUGCUUAGCCCCAUAUAUAUAUAUAUAUAGCGUUGUAAUGUAAUCAAUCUCUGAGAGUCAAGAGUGAUUGAGAGUCAUGGUCAUGGCUGAGUUUUAUUAGUCACUGUGUGUCUGUCUGUCUGUCAUUUGAGUUUGCCAGAGGCUUUUUAAUCAGCCUCUCUCUCUCUACCAUUCGGAAUAAAAUAAAAUAUAUUUAUUUAGCUCAU